GCGCUGGUCGUAUAAUGGUUAUUAUUUCUGCCUUCCAUUCGCUCGUGGUACUACGUAAGCAUGACGUAAUCAGCUUUGGUAGCAGAAGACAGGGGUUCGAUUCCCCUCCAGCGCA
RNAcentral lists this transfer RNA (115 nucleotides) under Moesziomyces antarcticus T-34. It matches the Rfam family "tRNA". Rfam says of the family: Transfer RNA (tRNA) molecules are approximately 80 nucleotides in length. Their secondary structure includes four short double-helical elements and three loops (D, anti-codon, and T loops). Further hydrogen bonds mediate the characteristic L-shaped molecular structure. tRNAs have two regions of fundamental functional importance: the anti-codon, which is responsible for specific mRNA codon recognition, and the 3' end, to which the tRNAs corresponding amino acid is attached (by aminoacyl-tRNA synthetases). tRNAs cope with the degeneracy of the genetic code in two manners: having more than one tRNA (with a specific anti-codon) for a particular amino acid; and 'wobble' base-pairing, i.e. permitting non-standard base-pairing at the 3rd anti-codon position. The record is from Rfam by way of RNAcentral. Lineage: Eukaryota; Fungi; Basidiomycota; Ustilaginomycetes; Ustilaginales; Ustilaginaceae.